RNAcentral lists this ribosomal RNA (726 nucleotides) under uncultured Bacilli bacterium. RNAcentral's name for it is "bacterial SSU rRNA". It matches the Rfam family "Bacterial small subunit ribosomal RNA", at positions 23 to 729 of the family's 1533-position model. The record is from RNAcentral. Lineage: Bacteria; Bacillati; Bacillota; Bacilli.
CUCAGGACGAACGCUGGCGGCGUGCCUAAUACAUGCAAGUCGAGCGGACCGACGGGAGCUUGCUCCCUUAGGUCAGCGGCGGACGGGUGAGUAACACGUGGGUAACCUGCCUGUAAGACUGGGAUAACUCCGGGAAACCGGGGCUAAUACCGGAUGCUUGAUUGAACCGCAUGGUUCCAAUCAUAAAAGGUGGCUUUUAGCUACCACUUACAGAUGGACCCGCGGCGCAUUAGCUAGUUGGUGAGGUAACGGCUCACCAAGGCGACGAUGCGUAGCCGACCUGAGAGGGUGAUCGGCCACACUGGGACUGAGACACGGCCCAGACUCCUACGGGAGGCAGCAGUAGGGAAUCUUCCGCAAUGGACGAAAGUCUGACGGAGCAACGCCGCGUGAGUGAUGAAGGUUUUCGGAUCGUAAAACUCUGUUGUUAGGGAAGAACAAGUACCGUUCGAAUAGGGCGGCACCUUGACGGUACCUAACCAGAAAGCCACGGCUAACUACGUGCCAGCAGCCGCGGUAAUACGUAGGUGGCAAGCGUUGUCCGGAAUUAUUGGGCGUAGAGCGCGCGCAGGCGGUUUCUUAAGUCUGAUGUGAAAGCCCCCGGCUCAACCGGGGAGGGUCAUUGGAAACUGGGGAACUUGAGUGCAGAAGAGGAGAGUGGAAUUCCACGUGUAGCGGUGAAAUGCGUAGAGAUGUGGAGGAACACCAGUGGCGAAGGCGACUCUC